AUCCCUGGCCUCACUCAGUGGGUUAAGGAUCCCGGGUUGCCAUGAGCCGUGGUGUAGGUUGCAGACACGGCUUGGAUCCCAGGUUGCUCUGGCUCUGGUGUAGGCCAACGGCUCCAGCCAGUUAGACCCCUAGCCUAGGAACCUCCAUAUGCCGAGGGAGUGGCCUUAGAAAAGGCAAAAAGAAAAAAAAAGAAAAAAGAUAAUCCUGAAAAUCCUAAAACCUUUUUAGAGCAAUUAUCAAACAGGAAGGAGUUUCUUAGACUCUAGGAAGACAGUUCAUGAUAGGAAAAGCCCUGGACAAUGAGUCAGAAGACAGGGUUCUCAAAACAAACUUCAACCUUAACAAGACAGCUGAACUCUGGGGACCAUAGUUUUCUCAGCUCUACCUAAGGGGUAGUAGGCUCUUUUUCACCAGUUUAGUGUGAAGAUUUAUGGGGAUCUGUGUGAAAGACAUUUAAAAAUGACCAUGUAACACAAUACUAUUAUCAAAAAUUAUGAAUAAUAAUGAUAGUAAAAAGGAAAGUUCUUCAGUUCUUCUCCAAAUUGUCUAAGAAGAGAAGACAUUUGUUAAGGUCAGUGUUUUUGAAAUUUUUUUUUUUUUUUUUUGGUCUUUUUGCUAUUUCUUGGGCCGCUCCCACGGCAUAUGGAGGUUCCCAGGCUAGGGGUCUAAUCGGAGCUGUAGCCACCAGCCUACACCAGAGCCACAGCAACGUGGGAUCCAAGCCGCAUCUGCAACCUACACCACAGCUCACGGCAACGCCGGAUCGUUAACCCACUGAGCAAGGGCGGGGACCGAACCCGCAACCUCAUGGUUCCUAGUCGGAUUCGUUAACCACUGCGCCACGACGGGAAUUCCUGAAACGUUAUUUGAUGUGACCUUCAAUAAGAAAAAAUCAGUUUACAUUGUGGAGCCAGGAUCUAUAUACAUAUGUCUCUGUGUGUACAUAUAUAUUGAUUCCCCAGAGAAACAGGACCAACAGGAGGUAUAUAAAGAUACUUAUUAAAAAGCCAUUGGCUCACCUAAUUACAAAGACUGAGAAUUCUUAUAAUCUUCCAUCUGCAAGCUAGAGUCCCAGAAGGCCAACGGUAUAGAUUACAGGGUGAGACUGAAGGCCUAAGAACCAGGAAUGCCAAGGGCAGAAGAUCAAUGCCUCAGUUCAAUCAGUCAGAUAGAGAGUAAAGUCAAACUUUCUCUACAUUUUCUAUUCUAUCCAGGCCUUUGAGAGAUUGAAUGAUGCUCACCCACUUUGGGAGAGGGCAAUUGCUUUCCUAAAUCCACCAAUUCCAAAGCUUAAUCUCUUCCAGACACACUUUCACGGACUUCUGAGUAUCUCUUGGCCCAGCCAGGUUGACACCUGAAAUUAACCACUACAGCAUUCAAAAACAAAAAUUUCACAAGAUAAGACUUACCUUGAAAAUAAAAGGGACUCUGAUAUGUUCUAUUCUUUUCCAUUCUACUUGAAAUAAAAUGCUGAUUAUAAUUCUUAAACUUGAUUUGGUUAAAACUCAGCCUAAAAAAUACUAGUCUAGAUUAGGGAUCAGUAGACUCCCUCUAAAGGGCCAGGUAGUAAAUCUCUUAGGCUCUGUAGGCCAUAGAGUUUCUGUUGGAGAAAGCAGUCACAGACAAUGCAUAAAUAAAUGAGCCUGGCUGUGUUUCAAUGAACCUCAUUUACAAAAUCAGGUUGCCAGCCCCCUGGUCAUAGUCUGCUGAACCCUGUUCUAGACGAACUCGAGUUUUUUUAGGUAGAAAUGUCCUAAAGGACUAUGAGAAUAUAAUUCAAAUUGCCUUAAAAACCAUCUGUGUCUCUAAGUUCAUUGCAGAACUUGCUAACAACCUCAAUUUGGCCUCCUGAAUCAAUCCACCCUCAUGGAGAGAGAGAGUUCUUCCAACAGCAGAAAUAGCCAACCCCGGGUCUCAUGACAAGUCCUCCUCCCAGUGCAAAUCAACAACCUGGCAUCUGGUCAUGAGUUGAAUUACUGUGAGUCAUUGCCCAAGAGCCUGACCAGACUUGAAUGGAAAAAGAAGUCAUAUUCUGGAGCCUACAAAACCAUGGACUGGAUUCCAAAAUGUCUCAUCUCACAAAGCACUGCCUUCCCUCUCCCACUGCUUUCCAUUUGCCCCAGCCUGGAAAAGUGAGAUUGGAAGAUUAUUAACUAUGGAAACCAAACCGAUUGUGCACUGGAAAGGGCAGUUCUGUUUUCAGCUGAGUCUUUGACACUGUGUAACUAUGAGAGAGGAAACUUCAAUGAUCACUUUGGUGAAGAACACGUUUUUUCCCAAAACUUUUUCAUAUGCAACAUAAGUGACCUUUUAGUUCGACUUUUCCAGAAGAAUCAUCUUGCCUUUGUUUCAAAGUCAGUAGAGCCCAGCUUGGUGACCCUCAACAAAGACAACCUAUGAUCCUGCAAUUGCACUCAGAGAAUCAGUGAUUUUUAACCUCCUCUGUCACCUUACUUAGUGCCUUAAAGGCAUAGGGUCAUUCAGAGCUCUCCAAGGGGUCAGAAAAUUCUCUUUUAAAGGACCAGAUAAUAAAUGCUUUAGGUUUAACAGGUCCAGAGGCAAAAGCAAAGAAAAAAAUUCAGGUACUUACAGAAUCAUUUAAAAAUGUGAAAAGUAGGAGUUCCCACUGUAGUAGAGCAGGAUUAAGGAUGCAGCAUUGCUGCAAUUGUGGCAGAGGUCACAGCUCCAACUCUGGAUUCGAUCCCUGGCCUGGGAACUUCCAUAUGGCAUGGGUGAGGCCAAAAUAAGGGGGGGGGACUAUUCCUAGCUCACAGACCCCUCCAAAACAAUUGGAGAGCAACAUUUGUCUCAUAGGCGGUAGUUUGCCAAUCCCUGGCUUAGAAGGAUGGAGGGCAGGGCAGUACCACAGCAGCAUUAUUCAACUGGAAAUAAAAAGAUAGAUUUGGCUUUUGGAAAAUAUGCUUUCAAUGUCAUUGUUUCUUUUGAUAGAUAGCAUUAAGUAAAGGGAAUUUAUUGUACUAGAAUAAGGAUAUUUACGAGGCUAAAAAUUAAGUACAUAAUUUAAGGUUAGAAAGUCUUAAAAAUAAAAUUAUGUGGUUAGAAGGCCUUAACGGAAAAAUUGUAUGGUUAAUUUUGCUUAUAAAUGUUAUUCAUGAUGUAGUGGAGAAAUAUUUUAAUCUGGUGGAUUUAGGCAAGUCCUAGUCAAUAAAUUGAAGACACAGAAAUGGUGUUAUAGAGUAAAAUUCCAUGAAAAUUCUACAUUCUUGAGAUCCAUACAAUGGAGUGAAGAAAAAAAAAUGAGGAAAAAAAAUGUUUAGAAUCUGGCCUGUAGAGCAGAAGUCACCAUGAAGAUUGGACCUGGUUGUCUUGUUAUGGGAUCCAAGACCACAUGUUAAUGACAUAUAGAAGCAAAAUCACAUGCAGGUAAUGUAGCAAUAUAACUUGGGGUGAGCUUCAAAGGGUCUUUAGAGUCCCAUUUGAAGAAAGUACCAUAGAGGGGUUGGGUGGAGAACAAAGAGUAAAAUAGUGAACAACUUGAAUGGUAAAUAUAGGAAAGAAGCUGAGUCCUUGGGAAUGAGAACAUUUGGGAUGCUGAAUAUGUCCAGCAUUCCUGCCAAACCAUCCAUCUUCAUGACUCCAUGUUAUCCCAUCUGUUCUGCUCAUCACCACUGCUGUUGACCUGAAGCAGUGUAACAAAAAAGUGAAUCAAAUGGAAAUUGUAGUCAAGGAGUGGAGCAUGAUCUUGGCUGGGAGAACAGACUCAAACUCCAGGGCUGAAGGGUGAGGUGAGGCUCCAAGUGGGAGAAUGGGUACAAAGAUCUGAAGCCAAAAGGAGCAGGAAUGUAUAGACAUGAGUACACAAACAGAAUCAGGACCAGUAGUUCAGGACAAAGGUAGGAGCAAGUUGAAAACAUGAACAGACAAAUGACUGCAGAAAAUGUUCCAUUUGAAGGCACUGGAACACUAUCAAAGCAGCGUAGAAUAGGCUGAUGGUUUCCAGAGCCAGAAGGUACAUAAAAUAGGUAAAUGUGAUAAAAAGAUACAAAUUUCUAGUAAUAAAAUUAGUCAUGGGGAUAGUAUGUACAGCAUGGUAACUAAAUAUUAUAUUGUCACCUAAAAGUCACUAAGAAAGUAAAUUCUGAACCUUCUCAUCACAAGAAAAAAAUUAUUAACUUGUAUGGUGACAGAUGUUACCUAGGUCUAUUUUUGUGAUUAUUUCACACUAUUCACAAAUAUUAAGUUGUACACCUGAAACUAAUGUAAUAUGUCAAUUAUAUCAAUAAAAGAAAUCAUUAAAUAAGAAAAGAUCGCCAUGAGAAAGAAAUAGAUACUGGCUUGUAAAAAAAAAAAGCAGCAGAAACGAAAAGCACAUUAAUGUGAGUCUGAUAUUCUAGACAUAUUUCCUCUUGAAGCAUUUACUAAUAUUAAAGCAGCUCAGAGCCAAGAGACUAAGAAGAGUGUAUAAAGUGGUGUCUAAGAGGCUGAGAGGCUAAGAAGAGAUUUUGGUAAUCUCAUAGAGCCUUAAAGACAGCAAUUGAAGGUCAGAGCUCACCAAAGAGAAGGAGCUCUGGUAAACACCCCAGACUUCUAGUUAGAACCAUACAAAGCAUAAACCCUAGGAGCAAAGGUAAACAGGAAAUAUACCAUCCCUCACAAAAUCUGAAAGCACUGUCCAAACUACUCAAUCAUAAACUGAAUUAAAGACAUCUGACUCAAUUCUAACUGCCUGCAGAAAGAAAAAAUUAAUUCUCUAUUGAAGAAUAUGUCAUUUGAUCUCAAUAAUUUUCCAUAACCAAUAUUUGAUUCUCAAUAAAGAAAUUACCGGAGUUUCUGUCAUUGCUCAGCGUUAGUAUCCAUGAGGAUGCAGGUUCGAUCCCUGGCCUCUCUCAGUGGGUAAAGGAUCCGGUGUUGUUGUGAGCUGUGGUGUAGGUCACAGAUGCAGCUCGGGUCUGGCAUUGCUAUGGUUAUGGCAAAUGCCUGCAGCAGCAGCUCCAAUUCGGUCCCUAGUCUGGGCACUUCCAUGUGUCACAGGUAUGGCCCUAAAA
RNAcentral lists this long non-coding RNA (5007 nucleotides) under Sus scrofa (pig). RNAcentral describes it as "lncRNA (ENSSSCG00000061306.1)". Lineage: Eukaryota; Metazoa; Chordata; Mammalia; Artiodactyla; Suidae. The record is from RNAcentral.